RNAcentral lists this ribosomal RNA (735 nucleotides) under uncultured Bacteroidales bacterium. RNAcentral's name for it is "bacterial SSU rRNA". It matches the Rfam family "Bacterial small subunit ribosomal RNA", at positions 54 to 776 of the family's 1533-position model. Lineage: Bacteria; Pseudomonadati; Bacteroidota; Bacteroidia; Bacteroidales. The record is from RNAcentral.
CAUGCAAGUCGAGGGGCAGCAUGGUCUUAGCUUGCUAAGGCUGAUGGCGACCGGCGCACGGGUGAGUAACACGUAUCCAACCUGCCGUCUACUCUUGGCCAGCCUUCUGAAAGGAAGAUUAAUCCAGGAUGGGAUCAUGAGUUCACAUGUCCGCAUGAUUAAAGGUAUUUUCCGGUAGACGAUGGGGAUGCGUUCCAUUAGAUAGUAGGCGGGGUAACGGCCCACCUAGUCAACGAUGGAUAGGGGUUCUGAGAGGAAGGUCCCCCACAUUGGAACUGAGACACGGUCCAAACUCCUACGGGAGGCAGCAGUGAGGAAUAUUGGUCAAUGGGCGAUGGCCUGAACCAGCCAAGUAGCGUGAAGGAUGACUGCCCUAUGGGUUGUAAACUUCUUUUAUAAAGGAAUAAAGUCGGGUAUGCAUACCCGUUUGCAUGUACUUUAUGAAUAAGGAUCGGCUAACUCCGUGCCAGCAGCCGCGGUAAUACGGAGGAUCCGAGCGUUAUCCGGAUUUAUUGGGUUUAAAGGGAGCGUAGAUGGAUGUUUAAGUCAGUUGUGAAAGUUUGCGGCUCAACCGUAAAAUUGCAGUUGAUACUGGAUGUCUUGAGUGCAGUUGAGGCAGGCGGAAUUCGUGGUGUAGCGGUGAAAUGCUUAGAUAUCACGAAGAACUCCGAUUGCGAAGGCAGCCUGCUAAGCUGCAACUGACAUUGAGGCUCGAAAGUGUGGGUAUCAAACAGG